GACGAACGCUGGCGGCGUGCCUAAUACAUGCAAGUUGAGCGCUGAAGGUUGGUACUUGUACCAACUGGAUGAGCAGCGAACGGGUGAGUAACGCGUGGGGAAUCUGCCUUUGAGCGGGGGACAACAUUUGGAAACGAAUGCUAAUACCGCAUAAAAACUUUAAACACAAGUUUUAAGUUUGAAAGAUGCAAUUGCAUCACUCAAAGAUGAUCCCGCGUUGUAUUAGCUAGUUGGUGAGGUAAAGGCUCACCAAGGCGAUGAUACAUAGCCGACCUGAGAGGGUGAUCGGCCACAUUGGGACUGAGACACGGCCCAAACUCCUACGGGAGGCAGCAGUAGGGAAUCUUGGGCAAGGGGCGAAAGUCUGACCGAGCAACGCCGCGGGAGUGAAGAAGGUUUUCGGAUCGUAAAACUCUGUUGGUAGAGAAGAACGUUGGUGAGAGUGGAAAGCUCAUCAAGUGACGGUAACUACCCAGAAAGGGACGGCUAACUACGUG
This 497-nucleotide ribosomal RNA is filed under the name uncultured bacterium. Its description in RNAcentral is "partial 16S ribosomal RNA". It matches the Rfam family "Bacterial small subunit ribosomal RNA", at positions 28 to 507 of the family's 1533-position model. The record is from RNAcentral.